AUGACCGCCAUGUUUCUUAGAGCUCCUCCUCCAUCUCCCCUCCUCUCUUCUUCUUCUUCCUCUUUCCCUCUUGUCAAUCCUCUCUCGACCCGAAUCCCUUCCUCUUUCCUUGCCUUCCUAUGCUUCAAAACCCUAACCAUGCCACCGCCAAGAAGUGCAAGAACCCAUCUCUCCCGAUUCGUCUUUCCCAAUAAAACCUCUCCCUUCUCCCCUCUCUUCUCCAUCCCAAACCCCCAAGAAUCCCAUUGCCGUGCCCUUCCUUUCACCUCCUCCUCCCCUCUCUUCGAGAUCGCCCCCUUCAUCCAAUCCGAAUGGGAGCCGAUCCUCAAGGGCUGGAUCUGCAGCGCCGUCUCCGUCUACUGCCUAUCAAGUGCCAUCCCCCGGGUCGGUCGCUUCCCGUCGGCGAUGGCCGCCGGGAUCGGGUCCAACCGCAUGGUGCGGGAGGGCUUGGCGCUGGCGGCGCUGGCCGGUGCUCGAUCGGUUACCGGUUAUCUCCAGCAGGCUUUCCUGUGGGAGGCGGCGCUAAGAUCGGUUUAUAGGAUUAGGGUUCAUGUUUUCGAUCGGGUCUUGCAGAGGGAUCUGGGGUUCUUCGAGGGGAAUGAUGGUGUUCCGGCUGGGGAUAUAGCUUAUAGAAUCACCGCGGAGGCAUCGGAUGUUGCGGACACUGUGUAUGCACUGUUGAAUACUGUCGUACCAAAUACCUUGCAAGUGAUAGCGAUGGCAACUCAGAUGGUCGUGGUCAGUCCAGCUCUCUCAUUCAUGGCAGCAUUGGCCAUCCCAUGUACCUCAUUCAUCAUAGCAUAUCUGGGUCAAAGACUUAGAGAGAUAUCAAGGAACGCACACUUGAGUGUUGCUAGACUCUCAGCCUACUUAAAUGAGGUAGUUCCAUCAAUUCUUGCUGUAAAGGCUAACAAUGGAGAGUUGAAAGAAAGCAUGCGAUUCCAAAUGCUUUCCCUAGAUGAUCUGGAAAAACUCUUGAGAAAGAGGAAAAUGAAGGCUUUGAUGCCUCAGAUUGUACAAGCAUUGUACAUAGGAGGACUGCUACUAUUUUGUGCUGGUUCACUCGUUGUUUCAAAGAAUUCAUUUGAUGCAUCAGGGUUUUUGUCUUUUAUAAUGGCACUGACUCUCCUAAUUGAGCCUGUUCAGGAUGUGGGAAAAGCAUACAAUGAACUGAAGCAGGGAGAGCCAGCAAUAGAACGCUUGUUUGAUCUAACAAGGUUCAAAUCUAAGGUGAUUGAGAAACCAGAUGCGGUUGAUUUAGACUCCAUUACUGGUGACAUAAAAUUUUGUGGUGUUACAUUCCGAUAUGCAGACAACAUGCCUCCUGUUUUAAAUGGGUUAGAUCUCCAUAUAAAACCAGGGGAAAGGGUUGCUCUUGUUGGGCCUUCUGGAGGAGGAAAAACAACUCUUACCAAACUGCUUCUUCGCCUAUAUGAUCCUCAUUGUGGAUGUAUACUUGUGGACAAUCAUGAUAUUCAGGAUAUCCAACUGAAAAGUUUAAGAGAGCACAUAGUUCUGGUUUCACAGGACAUUAUGCUGUUUUCAGGAACAGUGGCUGAAAAUAUUGGCUAUAGAGACUUGAUUGGAAAAGUGAACAUGGAACAAGUGGAAAAUGCUGCGAGAAUUUCUAAUGCUGAUGAAUUCAUUGCCACACUUUCAGAUGGCUAUAAAACGAACAUUGGGCAAAGGGGCUCUCUUCUUAGUGGAGGACAGAAACAGAGGCUAGCUAUUGCAAGAGCACUCUAUAGGAAGUCGUCAGUACUAAUUUUGGAUGAAGCAACUUCCGCUUUGGAUAGCAAGUCCGAGCUGUUGGUCAGACAAGCAUUGGAGCGUAUGAUGGCUAACCAUACUGUUCUCAUAAUUGCCCAUCGGCUGGAUACAAUUUUAAUGGCAGAUAGAGUUCUCCUCCUGGAUAGAGGCAAGCUAGAGGAAGUGUCAAAGUCCUCUCUUCUUGCUCAAGAUGGUCAGCAUGCGUCGCUUGCAUUGAACAGUCAUCGUGUAAGCCAUAAGAGCGAUGAAGCAUAAUCAUACGCAAUUGAGGGCAGGAAACGAGAUUGACGCUCCAAUUUUAUGCACCGCGCUCUUAGUGGAGAUCCAACAAUUUGGGCAUCUUAGGCAUAUGCAAGCGGUGAAUGCACAAGAGCCUCACGAGAGCAUCAAACCAGAGUAUGACGCAUGCCUAAAUGGCUCAAUGUGCCAGCUUGAUGCCGUUCACAUAUAAUCCCCGACUGCAGCAAAUAUUUUUUUGUACUGCAUUAUUUGUUGUGUUAAUUUUAGCAAUCAGAUCUCAUGGUCUUGAGAAAAUCCACCCCUGUAAAGGUGGCACGAUAUAACAUUUCAAUGUAGGUAUUAUUUCAAGGCGUGAAAAAAAACAAAUACCUGUAAA
This is an RNA transcript of Elaeis guineensis (African oil palm), 2386 nucleotides long. It is a transcript of the gene named ABC transporter B family member 29, chloroplastic, with no coding region annotated. The record is from RefSeq and is a predicted model, not a curated record. NCBI's taxonomy places the organism in Eukaryota, Viridiplantae, Streptophyta, Magnoliopsida, Arecales, Arecaceae.